Long non-coding RNA from Cygnus atratus (black swan), 1699 nucleotides. RefSeq lists it as uncharacterized. The record is from RefSeq and is a predicted model, not a curated record. The transcript is spliced from 3 exons. Lineage: Eukaryota; Metazoa; Chordata; Aves; Anseriformes; Anatidae.
UGAUUGUUUUUUCUUGGCUGUUGUUUGUAUUUUCAUCUGUUCAGUAACAGUAUAGAGGAACUCAGAAUAUCUGAAGGUAAAUGUAGAAUAGGUGCAUAUGUAAUCUUGAAUGCUUUGCUUUACAUGAAAGCUGCAUAUAAUAAAGGAGUCAGCUCAACCUACACCUGUCUAGCAGUGCUUUGGUAAAUGUGUUUUUGUAUAUAUUUAUAUAUUACUAUAUAAACUAUGGUACUUUAAAUGUCAAUAUAUAUUUAUUAAAACUCAAAGUUUUAUGUUAACCUUCCACUUUCUCUUAGUGGAUGGAAACUGGGAAAUGUUUUGUCACGUUUUCAGCAAAGCGAGCACACAAAGCAAAAGUGCCUUCCAAAAUUACUAACAGAACUUAUUCAGAUCUUCAUUUCAUAUCUUAAAUCAGACAUUCUUUUCUAAAUUUAUUAAACUACAUACAGGUAACAGUUUUAGGGUUAGAAGUUUAAGCUGUAUAACAGGCUGUGAAUUUACUAAUCCUUUUCUCAUCUUCCACUACCAUGUUUCUUUUGUAGGAGAAUCUCAAUGAAUUGAGAUGAUUGAUAUUGCUGCAGUGAGAAUGGAAAUUACUUGGGUUCCUUUCCUUUUAAAAGCUGCAUGCAAGAACUGUGUGGUACAGGAGUGUGUUGUUCUACAGUACACGUGGAAGCAACAGCUCUGUGGAAGAGCAGUGUUCAUUCCUCCAUCCCAUAGUUCUCCAGACUGCCAGUGACUAUCAAUAGAGCUUUUCAUUAGCCUGUGAUAUAUCAGGAAUUUGCUGACACUGUUACUGCUUUCCAUGCCGCAAGUGGAAUUGAAGUAAAGGCCACCAAGAGGAGGUGUCCAGUCCCGUGGAGGCUUACAACCCCUGUGCUGUCAAGGCAGUGCUGGUAUCUUCAGCACUUGUCUAUGCAGCCAGCAAAAGCUCAGCUUCUGCUUCCAGAUGUGAGAUACCAAGAUGAUUAACCCACCUAAUGUUUGGAUCCUCUAAUGGUUCACCGCCUAGUGCAGGUACAGAACUGACCUGAGAGAGAAAUGUUGUUCUUCAGAUAUGCAAAAUAUGGUGUCAGAUGUUCUACAGAUCUACCUACCUAACAAACUCGGAGAAAAAAAAUGGUCCUAAAGUCUCACUAAUGUCUAGAUUGUCAUCAUAAUGUAUAGAUGUCAUUCUGUGCUUCUUCCAAGUUCCUGUAGCAGCUAUCACCCACCCAUUUAUUCACCCCAUCACAUCUUUUGCUCUUCUGUAGCUGAUGUUGUUAAAAUUUGACAGCUGUUAACUGUCCUCCCUUGGAUUCAGCAAGUUGUGUCUGGUUCCACAAAGGCACUGACCCUCUCCAGCCAUAUGUUAUCCCUUUACUCCUCUCAAAGGGGAAAUAAGUGGGCUUGCUUUCUUCUGUGGGUUUCAGCCCACCUCUAGAGCAUGACCUGUUCCUCUGUUCCACCAGUGGCCAGGCCUAGGAGCAAGCUGAAGCAAUUGCAAAAAGAUGCAAAGAUUAAAGAUGGAAGGCUCAACAUGUGUUGUGUGCUGUUUAUUGUUGAAUGCAGUGUUGUAAAUGAAAUGGUUUGUCUGUAAUUAAUUUUAUUACACAUUUUAGUUAUCACUGGGGGGGAAGCAUAGACCAGUCUUUUCAGAGGGCCCUCAAUGAAAGCUGCAAACUGCCUUUGAAACUUAAAGAAAAUUGAGUUCCUAACU